CAGAGUCGUGUGAAUCAGCAUUAGGAAAAAUGGCUUAUGGGUUCUCAUAAUGCUGAGGGCUAUAAGGAGGUGUAGGAGACUCACUUUGGACCUCUAAGUUAUAAAACCAGUUAUCACAGAUGUGGACAUUAGUUUUCUCAUGGUUCGGCAGUGUAAAAUUCCAGACUACUUCGUUAUCAAUUAACAACUCAAACUCCGUCG
This 201-nucleotide long non-coding RNA is filed under the name Lathyrus oleraceus (garden pea). RNAcentral's name for it is "Pisum sativum (pea) long non-coding RNA (PSAT_LNC001775)". The record is from RNAcentral. Lineage: Eukaryota; Viridiplantae; Streptophyta; Magnoliopsida; Fabales; Fabaceae.